This 75-nucleotide transfer RNA is filed under the name Hyphomicrobiales bacterium. RNAcentral describes it as "tRNA-Thr". It matches the Rfam family "tRNA". Rfam says of the family: Transfer RNA (tRNA) molecules are approximately 80 nucleotides in length. Their secondary structure includes four short double-helical elements and three loops (D, anti-codon, and T loops). RNAcentral also lists the same sequence under 3 other names. Lineage: Bacteria; Pseudomonadati; Pseudomonadota; Alphaproteobacteria; Hyphomicrobiales. The record is from RNAcentral.
GCUGCCGUAGCUCAGUGGUAGAGCACUCCCUUGGUAAGGGAGAGGCCGAGAGUUCAAUCCUCUCCGGCAGCACCA